Molecule: ribosomal RNA, 500 nt
Filed under: uncultured bacterium
Lineage: Bacteria
Description: partial 16S ribosomal RNA
Rfam family: Bacterial small subunit ribosomal RNA
Source: RNAcentral
AUUGAACGCUGGCGGCAUGCCUUACACAUACAAGUCGAACGGCAGCACGGGAGCAAUCCUGGUGGCGAGUGGCGAACGGGUGAGUAAUAUAUCGGAACGUGCCCAGUAGUGGGGGAUAACUGCUCGAAAGAGCAGCUAAUACCGCAUACGACCUGAGGGUGAAAGCGGGGGAUCGCAAGACCUCGCGCUAUUGGAGCGGCCGAUAGCAGAUUAGCUGGUUGGUGGGGUAAAAGCUCACCAAGGCGACGAUGUGGAGCUGGUCUGAGAGGACGACCAGCCACACUGGGACUGAGACACGGCCCAGACUCCUACGGGAGGCAGCAGUAGGGAAUUUUGGACAAUGGGCGCAAGCCUGAUCCAGCCAUGCCGCGUGCGGGAAGAAGGCCUUCGGGUUGUAAACCGCUUUUGUCAGGGAAGAAACGGCUCCUACUAAUACUGGGGGCUAAUGACGGUACCUGAAGAAUAAGCACCGGCUAACUACGUGCCAGCAGCCGCCGUAA